CGCGUAGGCGGCUUGUUAAGUCUGAAGUGAAAGCCCUCGUUUCAAGCGGGGAACGGCUUUGGAUACUGGCAAGCUUGAGUGCAGGAGAGGGAUGCGGAAUUCCCAGUGUAGCGGUGAAAUGCGUAGAUAUUGGGAAGAACACCAGAGGCGAAGGCGGCAUCCUGGACUGUUACUGACGCUGAAGCGCGAAAGCCAGGGGAGCAAACG
RNAcentral lists this ribosomal RNA (207 nucleotides) under uncultured bacterium. Its description in RNAcentral is "partial 16S ribosomal RNA". It matches the Rfam family "Bacterial small subunit ribosomal RNA", at positions 568 to 774 of the family's 1533-position model. The record is from RNAcentral.